This 591-nucleotide small RNA is filed under the name Histoplasma capsulatum var. duboisii H88. Its description in RNAcentral is "Histoplasma capsulatum H88 hypothetical RNA". The record is from RNAcentral. Lineage: Eukaryota; Fungi; Ascomycota; Eurotiomycetes; Onygenales; Ajellomycetaceae.
ACUCAAGCGGUGGUGAGGGAAAUAAGAGGGCGGGAGACGACGGGAACGAAAAAGUUCAGGAGCCGGAGGAUCCGUCGAUGUCAUCGACGAGGAAUUGAUGGUCGUGCAAUAGCGUACAACGCUGGCUGAUGAAACCAAGGAACAAGCAACCGACUGGAUGAUUUUUGUCAGCCACGUCAUCGAGAAUUGAUCUCGCGCGAACGAAAUAUAAAGGGUAAAAAAAUGAACAAAAAGCAAAAAUGUUUUCAAAAAAAAUAAAGGAAAGAAAAGAAAGAGAACAAAUGAAAACAGAACAGAAGAAGAGAAGAAGAUAAGAGAAGACAAAUAUAUACUAGGACCGGCUGAUUUUGUGUAACGUUAUAUGUUUCUGGCUGUUAUUCUAUUCGACUUUCUUCUGGAUAUGUCAGAGGUACAUAGGGUGUUGAGAGAAACCUCUUGCAUGGAAAAGAAAGGGAGAGAAGAAGAAUUGGCCAUUCUAUUGUAUUCCGCAGGAAAGAUGUUUGUUACCUAGUCAGUUAUGUGACGAUAUUGUUUUUCCUUUACCAAUCAUGACUUCGUCCACUCUCGCAGAUAGAAGAUGUAAGGAACGGU